Molecule: ribosomal RNA, 279 nt
Filed under: Triticum aestivum (bread wheat)
Lineage: Eukaryota; Viridiplantae; Streptophyta; Magnoliopsida; Poales; Poaceae
Description: partial small subunit ribosomal RNA
Source: RNAcentral
GCCGGGAUAACCGACCUGGUGAUCCUGGAGGCGACGGACCGCAUGGGCGGGCGCAUCCACAAGACCAAGUUCGCUGGGGUGAACGUGAAGAUGGAGGCCAACUGGGUUGAAGGGGUGAACGGGGACGAGAUGAACCCCAUCUGGACCAUGGCAAAUGACACCGGAGGCCUCAACCUCAGGACCUUCCGCUCUGACUUCAGUCACCUCGCCGGCAACACCUAUAAGCAAGAGUAUAUGCUUGCGGUGGUCUCUACGAUGAGAAACUCGUCGAGAAGAUAA